GCAGACACAUGCCAGCCAAUCAGCAGCAGACCCUCCCUCCCGGGCCCUCCCACCUUCUGGACAGCUCACUAAGAAUGCAGCUUCACAAUGAAUGUAAAAUGGAUGCUGUCCAGGAGGUGGGAGGGUCUGGGAGGGAGGGUCUGCUGCUGAUUGGCUGGCAUGUGUCUG
This 168-nucleotide microRNA precursor is filed under the name Pelobates cultripes (western spadefoot toad). Lineage: Eukaryota; Metazoa; Chordata; Amphibia; Anura; Pelobatidae. The record is from RNAcentral.